AAUGAACGCUGGUGGCAGACCUAACACAUGCAAGUCGAACGGUCUAUAAUUAAACUUUCGGUUUUUUAUAGAUAGUGGACGAAACGGGUGAAGUAAAGCAGUGGGAAUCUACCUAGUAAGUUUGGAAUAGCUAUUAGAAAUGAUAGAUAAUAACCAAAUACACCUCGAGAGGGAAAGUUGACUUCGGUCUUCGUCUUUUAGAUGACGCCCAUAGUUAAAUUAGUUAGUUGGUAGGUAAUGGCCUACCAAGAUGAUGAUUUAUAGCUGGUCUUAGAGGAUGAUCAGCCACACUGGAAUUGAGAUACGGUCCAGACUCCUACGGGAGGCAGCAGUGGGGAAUAUUGGACAAGUGGGCGCAAGCCUGAUCCAGUCAUGCCACGUGAGUGAUGAAGUCUUAGG
Molecule: ribosomal RNA, 399 nt
Filed under: uncultured bacterium
Lineage: Bacteria
Description: bacterial SSU rRNA
Rfam family: Bacterial small subunit ribosomal RNA
Source: RNAcentral